This 114-nucleotide ribosomal RNA is filed under the name Escherichia coli. Lineage: Bacteria; Pseudomonadati; Pseudomonadota; Gammaproteobacteria; Enterobacterales; Enterobacteriaceae. The record is from RNAcentral. RNAcentral also lists the same sequence under 1 other name.
UGGCGGCCGUAGCGCGGUGGUCCCACCUGACCCCAUGCCGAACUCAGAAGUGAAACGCCGUAGCGCCGAUGGUAGUGUGGGGUCUCCCCAUGCGAGAGUAGGGAACUGCCAGGU